UGAGAAGCAAGGCUAAAGGAGAGUCAGGG
Molecule: non-coding RNA, 29 nt
Filed under: Mus musculus (house mouse)
Lineage: Eukaryota; Metazoa; Chordata; Mammalia; Rodentia; Muridae
Source: RNAcentral